AGCAGCCGCGGUAAUUCCAGCUCCAAUAGCGUAUAUUAAAGUUGUUGCAGUUAAAAAGCUCGUAGUUGAAUUUCGGGAUUGACACAUCGGUCGUGCCUUAAGGGGUAUGAACUGGUGUAGUCAAUUUCUCACCUUCUGGAGAACCGCGAUGUCCUUAAUUGGGUGCCGCGAGGAACCAGGACCUUUACUUUGAAAAAAUUAGAGUGUUUAAAGCAGGCAUUUUUGCUUGAAUACAUUAGCAUGGAAUAAUAAAAUAGGACGGCAUGAUUCUAUUUUGUUGGUUUCUAGGAUCACCGUAAUGAUUAAUAGGGAUAGUUGGGGGCAUUAGUAUUCAAUUGUCAGAGGUGAAAUUCUUGGAUUUAUUGAAGACUAACUACUGCGAAAGCAUUUGCCAAGGAUGUUUUCAUUAAUCAAGAACGAAAGUUAGGGGAUCGAAGACGAUCAGAUACC
Molecule: ribosomal RNA, 450 nt
Filed under: uncultured Glomeromycotina
Lineage: Eukaryota; Fungi; Glomeromycota
Description: SSU rRNA
Rfam family: Eukaryotic small subunit ribosomal RNA
Source: RNAcentral